Molecule: ribosomal RNA, 452 nt
Filed under: uncultured bacterium
Lineage: Bacteria
Description: bacterial SSU rRNA
Rfam family: Bacterial small subunit ribosomal RNA
Source: RNAcentral
GACCAGACUCCUACGGGAGGCAGCAGUGGGGAAUAUUGGGCAAUGGGCGAAAGCCUGACCCAGCAAUGCCGCGUGAAUGAAGAAGGUCUUAGGAUUGUAAAAUUCUUUCCUAUGGGAAGAAACAAAUGACGGUACCAUAGGAGGAAGCCCCGGCUAACUACGUGCCAGCAGCCGCGGUAAUACGUAGGGGGCGAGCGUUGUCCGGAAUUACUGGGCGUAAAGGGCGCGUAGGCGGGAUGGCAAGUCAGAUGUGAAAUCCAAGGGCUCAACCCUUGAACUGCAUUUGAAACUGUCGUUCUUGAGUACUGGAGAGGUUGACGGAAUUCCUAGUGUAGCGGUGAAAUGCGUAGAUAUUAGGAGGAACACCAGUGGCGAAGGCGGUCAACUGGACAGCAACUGACGCUGAGGCGCGAAAGCGUGGGGAGCAAACAGGAUUAGAUACCCCCGUACUA